Molecule: ribosomal RNA, 643 nt
Filed under: Streptomyces sp. DBT70
Lineage: Bacteria; Bacillati; Actinomycetota; Actinomycetes; Kitasatosporales; Streptomycetaceae
Description: bacterial SSU rRNA
Rfam family: Bacterial small subunit ribosomal RNA
Source: RNAcentral
UUAGUGGCGAACGGGUGAGUAACACGUGGGCAAUCUGCCCUGCACUCUGGGACAAGCCCUGGAAACGGGGUCUAAUACCGGAUACUGAUCGCCUUGGGCAUCCUUGGUGAUCGAAAGCUCCGGCGGUGCAGGAUGAGCCCGCGGCCUAUCAGCUUGUUGGUGAGGUAAUGGCUCACCAAGGCGACGACGGGUAGCCGGCCUGAGAGGGCGACCGGCCACACUGGGACUGAGACACGGCCCAGACUCAUACGGGAGGCAGCAGUGGGGAAUAUUGCACAAUGGGCGAAAGCCUGAUGCAGCGACGCCGCGUGAGGGAUGACGGCCUUCGGGUUGUAAACCUCUUUCAGCAGGGAAGAAGCGAAAGUGACGGUACCUGCAGAAGAAGCGCCGGCUAACUACGUGCCAGCAGCCGCGGUAAUACGUAGGGCGCGAGCGUUGUCCGGAAUUAUUGGGCGUAAAGAGCUCGUAGGCGGCUUGUCGCGUCGUUUGUGAAAGCCCGGGGCUUAACCCCGGGUCUGCAGUCGAUACGGGCAGGCUAGAGUUCGGUAGGGAAGAUCGGAAUUCCUGGUGUAGCGUGAAAUGCGCAGAUAUCAGGAGGAACACCGGUGGCGAAGGCGGAUCUCUGGGCCGAUACUGACGCUGA